UACAGAGGGUGCGAGCGUUAAUCGGAUUUACUGGGCGUAAAGCGUGUGUAGGCGGUUCGUUAAGUCGGAUGUGAAAGCCCUGGGCUCAACCUGGGAAUUGCACUCGAUACUGGCGAGCUAGAGUACGGUAGAGGGCGGCGGAAUUCCGGGUGUAGCGGUGAAAUGCGUAGAUAUCCGGAGGAACACCGAUGGCGAAGGCAACCGCCUGGGCCUGUACUGACGCUGAGACACGAAAGCGUGGGGAGCAAACAGG
This 253-nucleotide ribosomal RNA is filed under the name uncultured bacterium. RNAcentral describes it as "partial 16S ribosomal RNA". It matches the Rfam family "Bacterial small subunit ribosomal RNA", at positions 524 to 776 of the family's 1533-position model. The record is from RNAcentral.